CAGCCGCCGCGGGAAUACGUAGGGUGCGAGCGUUAAUCGGAAUUACUGGGCGUAAAGCGUGCGCAGGCGGUUGUGCAAGACAGAUGUGAAAUCCCCGAGCUUAACUUGGGAACUGCAUUUGUGACUGCACGGCUAGAGUGUGUCAGAGGGGGGUAGAAUUCACGUGUAGCAGUGAAAUGCGUAGAUAUGUGGAGGAAUACCGAUGGCGAAGGCAGCCCCCUGGGAUAACACUGACGCUCAUGCACGAAAGCGUGGGGAGCAAACAGGAUUAGAUACCCCCGUAGUCCCUGUCUCUUAUACA
RNAcentral lists this ribosomal RNA (301 nucleotides) under uncultured bacterium. Its description in RNAcentral is "partial 16S ribosomal RNA". It matches the Rfam family "Bacterial small subunit ribosomal RNA", at positions 509 to 808 of the family's 1533-position model. The record is from RNAcentral.